Molecule: ribosomal RNA, 477 nt
Filed under: uncultured bacterium
Lineage: Bacteria
Description: partial 16S ribosomal RNA
Rfam family: Bacterial small subunit ribosomal RNA
Source: RNAcentral
GACGAACGCUGGCGGCGUGCUUAACACAUGCAAGUCGAACGGUAAGGCCCUUCGGGGUACACGAGUGGCGAACGGGUGAGUAACACGUGGGUGAUCUGCCCUGCACUUCGGGAUAAGCCUGGGAAACUGGGUCUAAUACCGGAUAGGACCACUGCCUGCAUGGGUGGUGGUGGAAAGCUUUUGCGGUGUGGAUGGGCCCGCGGCCUAUCAGCUUAUUGGUGGGGUGAUGGCCUACCAAGGCGACGACGGGUAGCCGGCCUGAGAGGGUGACCGGCCACACUGGGACUGAGAGACGGCCCAGACUCCUACGGGAGGCAGCAGUGGGGAAUAUUGCACAAUGGGCGCAAGCCUGAUGCAGCGACGCCGCGUGAGGGAUGACGGCCUUCGGGUUGUAAACCUCUUUCAGCACCGACGAAGCGCAAGUGACGGUAGGUGCAGAAGAAGGACCGGCCAACUACGUGCCAGCCGCCGCCGUAA